UACGGGGGGAGCAAGCGUUGUUCGGAUUUACUGGGCGUAAAGGGCGCGUAGGCGGCCACCGCAAGUCGACUGUGAAAUCUCCGGGCUUAACCCGGAAAGGUCAGCCGAUACUGCGGGGCUAGAGUGCAGAAGGGGCAACUGGAAUUCUCGGUGUAGCGGUGAAUGCGUAGAUAUCGAGAGGAACACCUGCGGCGAAGGCGGGUUGCUGGGCUGACACGUGACGCUGGAUGCGCGAAAGCUAGGGGAGCGAACGGG
RNAcentral lists this ribosomal RNA (255 nucleotides) under uncultured bacterium. Its description in RNAcentral is "partial 16S ribosomal RNA". It matches the Rfam family "Bacterial small subunit ribosomal RNA", at positions 524 to 776 of the family's 1533-position model. The record is from RNAcentral.